RNAcentral lists this long non-coding RNA (2134 nucleotides) under Equus asinus (donkey). Its description in RNAcentral is "lncRNA (ENSEASG00005032710.1)". Lineage: Eukaryota; Metazoa; Chordata; Mammalia; Perissodactyla; Equidae. The record is from RNAcentral.
GUUUAGGUGCGCCCAGCACGGCGUGUGCAGAGCCACAAGCUGGCGUGAGUUGUUGGGGCGUGAAGUUGAAGGAGGGCAGUGGUGAGAAAUGCAGCCCCAUUUAACUCUUGCUGCAUCAUGAGCCACCCCCAAAACUUAGUGGCUUAAAACGACAACAUUUGAUCAUUCUCAUAAUUCUGCCAUCUGAGCUGAGUUCAGCUGGGUAGUCCUUCUGUUCAUGGACUAUCUGCUGGGGUUGGAACACCCAAAAACACUUUUUAACUCCCGUGUUUGAUGCCUUGGCUGGGUAAAUGGAAGAGCCGGGGCUGGCUGCCGUUUCUCUCUCUCUGUCUCUCUCCUCUCCAUGUGGCUAUCUCUGGCUUCCUCGGAGCACGGUGAUCUCAGGGCAGUUGGGUUCUUACAUGGCGGUUGGCUUCCAGUUGAGAGAAGCUGCCAGUGCAUGUGAGGUCUGGGCUCAGAAGUACCCGAACCUCACUUGCACGGCACUCUGUUGAUCAAAGCAAGUCACAAGGCCGGCCCUGAUUUAGGGGGAGGAAGCAGCUUCAGCUUCUUGAUGGGAGGAACAGUGCGCAUGUGCAGGGAGAGAUGCGUUCACAGUGGUCAUCUUUGGAGACUACCUGCCCAGAAGAAAGAAGCAUGCAGAAGGACAAUCUUGUCUGCUUGUCAGAGAAAUCGCAGGAAUGAUGACAAAUGCAGGAUAGCAGUUACCUCUGUGGGAGAAGAUGGGAUGUGCGAGGCCACAGGAAGCUUCGGCUAUUCUGCUCCUUGUCCAGGAAGCCUUCGCUCCAUCUCAGACAGUUCGGUCUCUCCUUUGUUCUCCUGCUGUGGUGGAGCCACCGCACAACAGCUCAGAAGAUGUUCUGCGGCGUCGUCACAGUGUUUCGCACAUGUUCCUGGGAUCCCAGUCAGAAUUCUCUGGGGAGCUGUGAAAAGUGCCGAUCAACGGAAUCUGAUUCCCUGGUGCCGAGGUUCAGGACCUGCGCCUCACGAGCCUUUCGUGGGCUUGGAGCACACUCGAGCGGGAGAGAAACUGCGUGGCUUACCUGCCUCCUCAGAGCAGGGACUCUGGCACUGUCCUUUGUGUCCCCUGGCAUUGAGCACAGGGAUGUGCAGCCGACACAAGUGUGUGUGAAUUCAGUGCAGAGACACAUUUCUCAGGAAGGAAAGCGGAGUGGGGGCGGUGGACGACGUGGGAUAACUGGGGAGGGCGUGAGUGGGAGCCCGUGCAGGAGAGCGAGAGAGGUGGGAAGUCUUAGGCUGAUUUGGGAUGCCCGCUCUGGGGGUCCUCUGAAUGCUGCCAAUAGAUAGUCAGUGAAUGUCUUUUCCCCUCCACUUUUUCCGCAGACACAUACUUUAGUCCCAGAAAUUAUUUUUGAAACCUGAACUUUCAAUGCCAGAACGAGUAAUUGCAUAUAAAGUGGGUCACAAGGAAGUGAUAACUAAUGCACAGGCUAUUUUAACUGCUGAAUCAGAAAUUUCUAAGCUACAUUAUGAAAUAUGCAGGAAGGAAAAUAAGCAGAUGAUAGGAGUGGAAGGAAUCCUAAAAUAAUGUUUUCACAAACAAAUUCUGGCCCAACAUACGCCUGAGCGGUGGGAGUGGGGGAGCUCCAGUGACACACAAUGAGAGUUGAAGAACUGGAAUGAAAUUGCCAAGCUGGAAUUCUUUCUGAACGACGUAGGACCCCUGAGGCACGUGGCCCACACCCCACAAACCCACAGCCUGCAGGACUUCGGCCGUGUCGUGGGGGCACCUUGUCACUGCUUCACAGCACAGGCAGACAGGGCUAAAGAGAGCAAAGACAGACAAAGCCACAAACACAAUGUAGAAAUCUUUUCUAUUGGCUAUUCCUCAAACAAAUAAAACCCAUCUUUUUGGUUCAAUUUAUUUCAUAGAGUUUUUUUCAUUGUGGUAAAAUAUGCACAACUUAAAAAUUACUAUUUUAAUCAUGUUUAAGUGUACAAUUCAGUGGCAUUAAGUAAAAUUCACAGUGUUGUGCAACUGUCACCACUAUCUAUUUCCAGAACUUUUGCAUCAUCCCUAGUAGAAACUCUGUGUCCAAUAAGGAGUAACUUCCCAUCCCCCAGCCCCUAGCCCCUGGUAACCAUUGUUUUACUUUCUGUCUCUAUGAAUUUG